This 253-nucleotide ribosomal RNA is filed under the name uncultured bacterium. Its description in RNAcentral is "partial 16S ribosomal RNA". It matches the Rfam family "Bacterial small subunit ribosomal RNA", at positions 524 to 776 of the family's 1533-position model. The record is from RNAcentral.
GACGAAGGUGGCGAGCGUUGUUCGGAAUCACUGGGCAUAAAGCGCACGUAGGCGGCUAGGUAAGUCGGAUGUGAAAUACCUCGGCUCAACCGAGGAACUGCGUCCGAUACUGCCUGGCUUGAGGUCCGGAGGGGAGAGUGGAAUUCCCGGUGUAGCAGUGAAAUGCGUAGAUAUCGGGAGGAAUACCGAUGGCGAAGGCAGGUCUCUGGGCUGACACUGACGCUCAUGCACGAAAGCGUGGGGAGCAAACAGG